Molecule: long non-coding RNA, 275 nt
Filed under: Nicotiana benthamiana
Lineage: Eukaryota; Viridiplantae; Streptophyta; Magnoliopsida; Solanales; Solanaceae
Description: long non-coding RNA (NBEN_LNC034892)
Source: RNAcentral
GGAUUUUAAUCAAAACAAUUGAUUAUACCAAAUCAAUAAUCGAUUACCCAAUAACAUUCAGAAAAUCUUUUCCGGAUUUUAAUCACAACAAUCGAUUAUACAGAAUUAAUAAUCGAUUACCUGACGGUAUUUGAAAACUUUACGACAACGGUCAGCUUCACAAUCGAUUGCACAAAAUUAACAAUCAAUUACUUAUCAGUUUUUGAAAAACAUUUUAGACACUGCCUCUUGACAAUCGAUUGUUAUAUACUCACAAUCGAUUAUUUAAUAAAUUU